Globicephala melas (long-finned pilot whale) is the source of this 580-nucleotide long non-coding RNA. RefSeq lists it as uncharacterized. Lineage: Eukaryota; Metazoa; Chordata; Mammalia; Artiodactyla; Delphinidae. The record is from RefSeq and is a predicted model, not a curated record.
GGCUCAGCGGCCAUGGCUCACGGGCCCAGCCGCUCCGCGGCAUGUGGGAUCUUCCCGGACCAGGGCACGAACCCCUGUCCCCUAUAUCGGCAGGCGGACUCUCAACCACUGCGGCACCAGGGAAGCCCUAAGGGACCCCAAGAGAGGAGGAGAGGGCUGUGUCUCUGGAAACUUUACUAGGCAAAAAAUGGUAUUACAGUUGGAAAUGCAGCUGACCCAAAGCAAGAAACUUCAAGAGCUGGGAGAAGGUCACAGAAAGGUCAAGAGGAAGGAAGGUGGGGGAUGAAGGGGCUCAGAUGGAAUAUUUCAGGCACUCUGAUAAUGACUGACUCUGGUUUGAACUGUCAUGUUGUCCCAGAAAGGAAGGCAAAUCAAUGCUGGGAGGCUCCUUAUCAGGAGAGCAGUAUCUAUGUGUGAGGGCCCUGAGGCCUGCUGAGAAAGUCCAAGUAAAGACUUGGAGGUACGCUGCCCACUCCAUCUCAGAAGGAAACGUGGACUCCGUCAGAGUGUGGUGGAGCAAAGGAGGUGCACUAAGGACCCAGACAUCUGGGUCUGGAUGGGGGCUUCACCGCUUUCUACC